This 264-nucleotide ribosomal RNA is filed under the name uncultured bacterium. Its description in RNAcentral is "partial 16S ribosomal RNA". It matches the Rfam family "Bacterial small subunit ribosomal RNA", at positions 333 to 589 of the family's 1533-position model. The record is from RNAcentral.
UGAGCCCUACGGGAGGCAGCAGUGGGGAAUAUUGCGCAAUGGGCGAAAGCCUGACGCAGCGACGCCGCGUGAGGGAUGAAGGUCUUCGGAUCGUAAACCUCUGUCAGCAGGGAAGAACGGUCACUGUGCUAAUCAGCAGUGAAUUGACGGUACCUGCAAAGGAAGCACCGGCUAACUCCGUGCCAGCAGCCGCGGUAAUACGGAGGGUGCGAGCGUUAAUCGGAAUUACUGGGCGUAAAGGGGGCGCAGACGGCGAUGCAAGCC